GACAGCUAUAAAGAAGGGCAGUCCGGCCUGAAAUUCGAUAGCAAAAAUUUUAGUUAAUGCCUGAGAAAAUCUGACCAAAAAAAAAAAAUGCCUGAGAAAAAAAUUGUCUAUUCCUUGUAGCCUUCAUAAUACUCUUCGACUUCAUCUGAGUAUCCUUACAGUUAUGUAGAGUAACUCGAAUUUGAAAAGCUGAUUCUACAGCUGAACUUAUCCAGUAUCGACAAAGGGAACAUUUCAUAGAGGAUCAAAGUAAAGACAAAGAGAACUUCUGUAGUCAAGGACUUGCUUUCGCUGCAUGCAAGGAUGUAUAAUCAUUGAACUAGUAAGCACUCGCAUUGCAUCAUUUCUUUCUUGUAUCUUUUUCCAAGUAACUUUUGCUGCUGACAACUUGUUCUGUUGAUAAGAUGAUAAAAUCUACCAUGGCGCAAGUGUAUGGUAUAGCCUUGAA
Molecule: non-coding RNA, 448 nt
Organism: Arachis ipaensis
Lineage: Eukaryota; Viridiplantae; Streptophyta; Magnoliopsida; Fabales; Fabaceae
Source: RefSeq, a predicted model, not a curated record